UACGGAGGAUGCGAGCGUUAUCCGGAUUUAUUGGGUUUAAAGGGUGCGUAGGCGGGUUAUCAAGUCAGCGGUAAAAUCGUGGAGCUCAACUCCAUCCAGCCGCUGAAACUGAUGAUCUUGAGUGGGCGAGAAGUAUGCGGAAUGCGUGGUGUAGCGGUGAAAUGCAUAGAUAUCACGCAGAACUCCGAUUGCGAAGGCAGCAUACCGGCGCCCGACUGACGCUGAAGCACGAAAGCGUGGGUAUCGAACAGG
Molecule: ribosomal RNA, 252 nt
Filed under: uncultured bacterium
Lineage: Bacteria
Description: partial 16S ribosomal RNA
Rfam family: Bacterial small subunit ribosomal RNA
Source: RNAcentral